Molecule: unclassified non-coding RNA, 272 nt
Filed under: air metagenome
Description: partial contains small subunit ribosomal RNA, internal transcribed spacer 1, and 5.8S ribosomal RNA
Rfam family: Eukaryotic small subunit ribosomal RNA (bases 1-46)
Source: RNAcentral
AAGUCGUAACAAGGUUUCCGUAGGUGAACCUGCGGAAGGAUCAUUAUCGUAUCUCGGACGUCCGACCGACGCCCUGCUCCGGUCGAAAGGCCGUGCAGCGGGCCGAGGGAGGCGUUCAACCUUCACAAACCACUGUGCACCUUCACGGCUCAGGCUCCCGGGCGAGAGCUCGGUUGCCGACGCCGUACCAACAAACACUUGUCUUUAGAAUGUUCAGCGACUCAGUCGCCCAUUAAACGAAACAACUUUCAACAACGGAUCUCUUGGCUCUC